Molecule: ribosomal RNA, 276 nt
Filed under: Mycobacterium kumamotonense
Lineage: Bacteria; Bacillati; Actinomycetota; Actinomycetes; Mycobacteriales; Mycobacteriaceae
Description: Mycolicibacter kumamotonensis partial 23S ribosomal RNA
Rfam family: Bacterial large subunit ribosomal RNA
Source: RNAcentral
UGGGAGACUAUGAAGCUGCGACGCUAGUUCUAGUGGAGUCAACCUUGAAAUACCACCCUUGCUAAAUUGAUUUUCUAACCCGUUCCCCUUAUCUGGGAAGGAGACAGUGCGUGGUGGGUAGUUUGACUGGGGCGGUCGCCUCCUAAAGAGUAACGGAGGCGUUCAAAGCUACACUCAAUAUGGUCAGAAACCAUAUGCAGAGCACAAAGGUAAAAGUGUGGUUGACUGCAAGACUUACAAGUCGAGCAGGUGCGAAAGCAGGACUUAGUGAUCCGG